This 200-nucleotide ribosomal RNA is filed under the name uncultured bacterium. Its description in RNAcentral is "partial 16S ribosomal RNA". It matches the Rfam family "Bacterial small subunit ribosomal RNA", at positions 8 to 197 of the family's 1533-position model. The record is from RNAcentral.
AGAGUUUGAUCCUGGCUCAGAGCGAACGCUGGCGGCGUGCUUAACACAUGCAAGUCGAACGCGCAGUCUUCUGUAGCAAUACAGGAGGUGGGCGCGUGGCGAACGGGUGCGUAACACGUGGACAACUUUCCUGGUGGUGGGGAAUAACCCCGCGAAAGCGGGGCUAAUACCGCAUAACAUUGCGAGGGCACAUGCUUUUG